AACGAACGCUGGCGGCAUGCCUAACACAUGCAAGUCGAACGAGACCUUCGGGUCUAGUGGCGCACGGGUGCGUAACGCGUGGGAACCUGCCCUUAGGUUCGGAAUAACUCCCCGAAAGGGGUGCUAAUACCGGAUAAUGUCUUCGGACCAAAGAUUUAUCGCGUUUGGAUGGGCACGCGUUGGAUUAGCUUGUUGGUAGGGUAAAAGCCUACCAAGGCGACGAUCCAUAGCUGGUCUGAGAGGAUGAUCAGCCACACUGGGACUGAGACACGGCCCAGACUCCUACGGAAGGCAGGAGUGGGGAAUAUUGGACAAUGGGGGAAGGCCUGAUCCAGCAAUGCCGCGUGAGUGAUGAAGGCCGUAGGGUUGUAAAGCUCUUUUACCCGGGAUGAUAAUGACAGUACCGGGAGAAUAAGCUCCGGCUAACUCCGUG
Molecule: ribosomal RNA, 433 nt
Filed under: uncultured bacterium
Lineage: Bacteria
Description: partial 16S ribosomal RNA
Rfam family: Bacterial small subunit ribosomal RNA
Source: RNAcentral